Molecule: ribosomal RNA, 301 nt
Filed under: uncultured bacterium
Lineage: Bacteria
Description: partial 16S ribosomal RNA
Rfam family: Bacterial small subunit ribosomal RNA
Source: RNAcentral
CAGCCGCCACGGUAAUACGUAGGUGGCAAGCGUUGUCCGGAAUUAUUGGGCGUAAAGGGCUCGCAGGCGGUUUCUUAAGUCUGAUGUGAAAGCCCCCUGCUCAACCGGGGAGGGUCAUUGGAAACUGGGAAACUUGAGUGCAGAAGAGGAGAGUGGAAUUCCACGUGUAGCGGUGAAAUGCGUAGAGAUGUGGAGGAACACCAGUGGCGAAGGCGACUCUCUGGUCUGUAACUGACGCUGAGGAGCGAAAGCGUGGGGAGCGAACAGGAUUAGAUACCCCCGUAGUCCCUGUCUCUUAUAA